This 253-nucleotide ribosomal RNA is filed under the name uncultured bacterium. RNAcentral's name for it is "partial 16S ribosomal RNA". It matches the Rfam family "Bacterial small subunit ribosomal RNA", at positions 524 to 776 of the family's 1533-position model. The record is from RNAcentral.
UACGAAGGGGGCUAGCGUUGUUCGGAAUGACUGGGCGUAAAGGGCGCGUAGGCGGCGAUGUAAGUCAGGCGUGAAAGCCCCGGGCUCAACCUGGGAACUGCAUUCGAGACUGCAGGACUGGAGUAUUGGAGAGGGCAGCGGAAUUUCCGGUGUAGCGGUGAAAUGCGUAGAUAUCGGAAGGAACAUCAGUGGCGAAAGCGGCUGCCUGGCCAAAUACUGACGCUCAUGUGCGAAAGCGUGGGGAGCAAACAGG